GAAUCCGUGGGCAGAGCUUCGCCGCUGUGACUUUGCAGAACCGGCGGCGCGUGCUGGCACUCAGCACUGCAGAGCUCCUUGUGCUCAUCGCUUUGCCGUGUGCAGUGAGUGCCCUGAAAAUACCACGCUGUGCUGAUUCACUCCGUGAUGAAGAAUGAACACACAAGCCAUGCAGUCAAUAGGUCGUUGGCUCACAUAGUUCGGACUUCCCCUCAUUUCGGCGUGGCGUGCUCUUGCUUUGCUUAACCGCAGGGAAAAUUCCUGGAGAUGAUCGCUCGCCUCCAGGGAUCAAGGGCAAAAAAAGCAGAACAUGAAGCCAACCUCUGGGCCUGGCCCUGCCCCUGCUGCCUUCAUUCCUGUGGCCGUGGGGAGCUGGGGGUGGAAAUCCGAGCAGGGAUCUCUCCCACAGUUUGCUUUGGCAUCAGCAGUGGGGUUUGCCUUGAGAGUGCUUGGCUGGAAAACCGCCUCUUGUCCCCUGGCUACGUGUUAGGGAUGGAUGUGAGCUGUCCAACCACACCAUCUCCACCAUGGGAUGUGGCCAUCAGCUCUUGUCCACGGCUCCUGGGGAGGGAGGGAGGGAAGGAGAAGCGUGCCCAGUGCAGCCCUGUUUCUCCAGCGCACAGCUCAGAGAAAUGUAAUUACACCGUGUCCUUCGUCUCAAUGUGGAGCAGCAGCAGGCUGAGUCUCAUGGGACGUUCUUCAUUGCAUUGAAAGCUGACUUUAUUAAUUACCAGCCUCUGAUCUCAUUUGAGGGCUGAGUUUAUGAAAUGGAAUCCUUAUUUCUCUGCGUUCCUUGUUCAUCUCUCUUAUUGAGCUGUGUCCAGUGGAUGUCUGGGGCUUUAGAAACUCCUGGGCUCUCCUGUUAUGCAGCCACGAGCUGUGCAGAGCAAGGCGACGUGGUGGAGUUGCCCUGAAAUCCUGGGGAAAGAGGGAGAAAGAAAUCUCCUCUCAAGAAAACUGGCAAUGGGGACAGCUGCCUGGUGUUGCUGCUCAUUGUGCCCUCCCUGGGAUGCCCCUUUCCCCAUGUGGGAGGUGGUGGCAGCAUCCAGAGGUGCUGGGGUGGCUUCCCAGAGCCGUGCUCAGCGCUGGGUGCAGCUCAGCUCCACCUGGGGACAGCUUCCCAACCUGCAUCCAUGCAGUGAGCCCUGGGUUUGCCUUUAGGCACUUACAGGAGUGCCUGUUUCUUCAUCUAGAUGUCAAAUAUUAUUUUAUUUUAAAAGGGAAAAUAGCCACUAAACAGCCCUUGAAGCAUCAGGCUAGUGCCUAAUUCCACUUG
Long non-coding RNA from Numida meleagris (helmeted guineafowl), 1276 nucleotides. RefSeq lists it as uncharacterized. Lineage: Eukaryota; Metazoa; Chordata; Aves; Galliformes; Numididae. The record is from RefSeq and is a predicted model, not a curated record. The transcript has 3 exons.